GCCGGAAUAGCUCAAUUGGUAGAGCAGAGGACUGAAAAUCCUCGUGUCA
RNAcentral lists this transfer RNA (49 nucleotides) under Herbertus juniperoideus subsp. acanthelius. Its description in RNAcentral is "partial transfer RNA-Phe". It matches the Rfam family "tRNA", at positions 1 to 47 of the family's 71-position model. From Rfam's summary of the family: Transfer RNA (tRNA) molecules are approximately 80 nucleotides in length. Their secondary structure includes four short double-helical elements and three loops (D, anti-codon, and T loops). Further hydrogen bonds mediate the characteristic L-shaped molecular structure. tRNAs have two regions of fundamental functional importance: the anti-codon, which is responsible for specific mRNA codon recognition, and the 3' end, to which the tRNAs corresponding amino acid is attached (by aminoacyl-tRNA synthetases). tRNAs cope with the degeneracy of the genetic code in two manners: having more than one tRNA (with a specific anti-codon) for a particular amino acid; and 'wobble' base-pairing, i.e. permitting non-standard base-pairing at the 3rd anti-codon position. The record is from RNAcentral. Lineage: Eukaryota; Viridiplantae; Streptophyta; Jungermanniopsida; Jungermanniales; Herbertaceae.